Molecule: transfer RNA, 72 nt
Filed under: Phytophthora infestans (potato late blight agent)
Lineage: Eukaryota; Oomycota; Peronosporomycetes; Peronosporales; Peronosporaceae
Also listed under: 1 other name
Rfam family: tRNA
About the family: Transfer RNA (tRNA) molecules are approximately 80 nucleotides in length. Their secondary structure includes four short double-helical elements and three loops (D, anti-codon, and T loops).
Source: Rfam by way of RNAcentral
CCGCUUUUAGCUCAGUGGUCGAGCGUUGGCUUUGGAAGCCACAAGUCGGUUGUUCGAACCCACCAGGGCACA